GCAUAUCAAUAAGCGGAGGAAAAGAAACCAACAGGGAUUCCCUUAGUAACGGCGAGUGAACCGGGAAAAGCUCAAAUUUGAAAUCUGCCAACAGGCCGAGUUGUAAUUUGUAGAUGGCUACACUGCAUAAUAGUAGAUGCUCAAGUUCUUUGGAAAAAGACAUCAUGGAGGGUGACAAUCCCGUGAGGCAUGUUACUAGGAGCAUAUAGUGGGCUUUCUAAGAGUCGAGUUGUUUGGGAAUGCAGCUCAAAGUGCGUGGUGAAUACCAUGUAAAGCUAAAUAUGGACGAGAGACCGAUAGCGAACAAGUACUGUGAAGGAAAGAUGAAAAGCACUCCGAAAGGAGAGUGAAAUAGUACGUGAAAUUGUUAAAGUGGAAGGGCUUGAGAUCAGAAUUGGUAGUUUGGGUUCCACGUCCUCUUGGGGGCGUGUACUCCCUUUCCACCGGGCCAGCGGGAGUUUCGUCUCUUGGGUAAAAGCAGUGGAAUGUAGCAGCUUGUCUGUAUUAUAGCCUCUGUUCAUACAAGACGUCGAGACUUGAUUUGUUGGCGUAAUGAUCUCUAGCCACCCGUCUUGAAACACGGACC
Molecule: ribosomal RNA, 586 nt
Filed under: Wickerhamiella pararugosa
Lineage: Eukaryota; Fungi; Ascomycota; Dipodascomycetes; Dipodascales; Trichomonascaceae
Description: eukaryotic LSU rRNA
Rfam family: Eukaryotic large subunit ribosomal RNA
Source: RNAcentral